UAAGCGGAGGAAAAGAAACUAACAAGGAUUCCCCUAGUAACGGCGAGUGAAGCGGGAAGAGCUCAAAUUUGUAAUCUGGCACUUUCAGUGUCCGAGUUGUAAUCUCGAGAAGUAUUUUCCGCGCCGGACCGCAUACAAGUCUGUUGGAAUACAGCGUCAUAGUGGUGAGAACCCGUAACUGAUGCGGAUGCCCGGUGCUUUGUGAUAUACUUUCGAAGAGUCGAGUUGUUUGGGAAUGCAGCUCAAAUUGGGUGGUAAAUUCCAUCUAAAGCUAAAUAUUGGCGAGAGACCGAUAGCGAACAAGUACCGUGAGGGAAAGAUGAAAAGCACUUUGGAAAGAGAGUUAACAGUACGUGAAAUUGUUGGAAGGGAAACACUUGACGUCAGACUUGCGCUUCGGAGUUCAGCCGCAAGGUGUAUUCUUCGAUUUGCAGGCCAGCAUCAGUUUUCGGGGGUGGAAAAUCGUGAUUUGAAGGUAGCAGUUUCGGCUGUGUUAUAGCUUUUCACUGGAUUCAUCCUUGGGGACUGAGGAACGCAGUACGCUUUUUGCAAGGCUCUCGAGCUUUUCGUACUUAGGAUGCUGGUGGAAUGGCGUUAAAUGACCCGUCUUGAAACACG
RNAcentral lists this ribosomal RNA (618 nucleotides) under Leucosporidium fellii. Its description in RNAcentral is "eukaryotic LSU rRNA". It matches the Rfam family "Eukaryotic large subunit ribosomal RNA", at positions 47 to 663 of the family's 3401-position model. The record is from RNAcentral. Lineage: Eukaryota; Fungi; Basidiomycota; Microbotryomycetes; Leucosporidiales; Leucosporidiaceae.